Ananas comosus (pineapple) is the source of this 391-nucleotide long non-coding RNA. RefSeq lists it as uncharacterized. The record is from RefSeq and is a predicted model, not a curated record. The transcript is spliced from 2 exons. NCBI's taxonomy places the organism in Eukaryota, Viridiplantae, Streptophyta, Magnoliopsida, Poales, Bromeliaceae.
UGAUAAAAAUGAUAGGCUGCUAGAUUUUUGCGCAGAACCUUGAGUCUGCAUGCAUUGAAACAGUGGAGUCUGGUAAAAUGACAAAGGAUCUUGCGCUUCUUAUCCACGGUCCCAAGGUAUCAAGGGAACAUUACUUGAGCACGGAGGAAUUGGUUGAUGCAGUUGCUCAGAGACUUAGAGAGAAACUUCAAGUUCGUGCUGUUUUGUAGAGUCGGGUCCGACAUCCAAUCUGACUGCUUAAGGAAGAAGAUUAGAAAAGUUCAUGCAGGACUCUGGAAGAUUGCUUCUAGAGGGCUAGGGUAUACUUUUUUCUUUUGAGAUGAUACGAUAAGCAGAAGAUAACUUCGAUUGGAUGUUUCAUUCAUGAAAUGGGUAUUGCAUUUUUUUUUUU